UACAGAGGUCUCAAGCGUUGUUCGGAUUCAUUGGGCGUAAAGGGCGCGUAGGCGGCGUGGUAAGUCGGGUGUGAAAUCUCGGAGCUUAACUCCGAAACUGCAUUCGAUACUGCCGUGCUUGAGGACUGGAGAGGAGACUGGAAUUUACGGUGUAGCGGUGAAAUGCGUAGAUAUCGUAAGGAAGACCAGUGGCGAAGGCGGGUCUCUGGACAGUUCCUGACGCUGAGGCACGAAAGCCAGGGGAGCGAACGGG
This 253-nucleotide ribosomal RNA is filed under the name uncultured bacterium. RNAcentral's name for it is "partial 16S ribosomal RNA". It matches the Rfam family "Bacterial small subunit ribosomal RNA", at positions 524 to 776 of the family's 1533-position model. The record is from RNAcentral.